RNAcentral lists this ribosomal RNA (1478 nucleotides) under uncultured bacterium. RNAcentral's name for it is "bacterial SSU rRNA". It matches the Rfam family "Bacterial small subunit ribosomal RNA". The record is from RNAcentral.
CUCAGAAUGAACGUUGGCGGCGUGGAUUAGGCAUGCAAGUCGUGCGAGAAUCUCCCUUCGGGGAGAGGACAGCGGCGAAAGGGAGAGGAACGCGUGGUUACCUACCCUCUGGACCGGGAUAGUAGCGGGAAACUGCUAGUAAUACCGGAUAAUAUCUUUGGAUCAGAGGUGUGAUUCCUCCCGAUGAUUGGACCGCGUUCUAUUAGCUUGUUGGCGGGGGAAUGGCCCACCAAGGCGACGAUGGAUACCGGGUGUGAGAGCAUGGCCCGGCUCACUGGGACUGAGACACUGCCCACACACCUACUGGUGGCUGCAGACAAUAAUCUUCGGCAAUGGGGGAAACCCUGACCGAGCGACGCCUGCGUGCGGGAUGAAGGUCUUCGGGUUGUAAACCGCUGACAGUUGGGAGGAAGUGCCAGGGGGUUAUCCCCUUGGUUUGACCGAUCUUCAGAGGAAGGACGGGCUAAGUUCGUGCCAGCAGCCGCGGUAAGACCAACCGUCCAAACGUUAUUCGGAAUCACUGGGCUUAGAGCGUGCGUAGGCGGCCUGGUAGGUGAGAUGUGAAAGCCCACUGCUCAACCGAGUAAUUGCGUUACAAACCACCACGCUUGAAGAUGGCAGGGGUGAUAGGGAACUGAUGGGGGAGUGGUGAAAUGCAUUGAAUCAUCACGAACACCGGUGGGGAAGGGUCCUCACUUGGCUCUUUUCUGACGCUGAGGCACGAAAAGCUAGGGUAGCGAACGGGAUUAGAUACCCCGGUAGUCCUAGCUGUAAACGAUGAGCACUGGGUUGAGGGGACUUCCACAUCUUUUCGGCCGUAGCGAAAGCGUUAAGUGCUCCGCCUGGGGAGUAUGGUCGCAAGGCUGAAACUCAAAGGAAUUGACGGGGGCUCACACAAGCGGUGGAGGAUGUGGCUUAAUUCGAGGCUACGCGAAGAACCUUAUCCUAGAUUUGACAUGGUUGAGAAUCUCCUUGAAAGAGGAGAGUGCCGUUCGGGGAGCUCUUUCACAGGUGUUGCAUGGCUGUGGUCAGACUCGUGUCGUGAGAUGUUGGGUUAAGUCCCUUAACGAGAGAAACCCUUAUCUUUAGUUGCCAGCGGGUAAUGCCGGGGACUCUAAAGAGACUGCCGGUGUCAAACCGGAGGAAGGUGGGGAUGACGUCAAGUCUUCAUGGCCUUUAUGUGUAGGGGUGCACACGUCUUACAAUGGCACGUACAAAGGGAAGACAAGCCGCGAGGCCGCGAUAAUCUCAAAAAGCGUGCCCCAGUUUGGAUUGCAGGGUGCAAUUCUCGUGCAUGAAGCCGGAAUCGCUAGUAAUCGCGGGUCAGCAUACCGCGGUGAAUGUGUUCUUGAGCCUUGUACACACCGCCCGUCAAGCCACGAAAGUUGGGAGGGCCUGUAGUCUCUGAGAUAACCCGCAAGGGAGGCAGGUGCCGAAGGUCAGCUCGACAAUUGGGACUAAGUCGUAACAAGGUAACC